GAAGGGACAAGUUGGGGGUGAUUACCAGGGUUUUGACUGAAACCUCCAGGUGAAUGAGGGAGGGAGUGUGUGAAAGCUACAACAGACCCUGGUUUGUAGAUACACAGCCCAGUGUACAGGAUGCAAGGCUGUAAGGAAGUAACUUGGCCUCUGUGAAAUGACCAACUCUGGCCCAAGAAAGAAGUAAUGGUUACCUUAUUGUUCCUCUGCCAGGAGUGCUGGAGCAUUUAUCUUCUGAGAGUAGAAAGAACCUCCUAAUUAUGGAGGAGGGGAAAGGAGGCUGUGCUGUGCUGCCUGCUAUGUGUAGGAAUUUUGCUGACCUGGUGGAUCUUCAUAUAUUGCCACAAGGUUCAAACAGAAAUACCAGCUGGUUUUCUGAACAGAAGAAAGAGGAAGUCUGCAGUUAAAAGAAACAAUUGAUUCGAGAGUCAAGGAGUAUUUGGAAAUUUGUAAACAGCACAGGACAUCAAAUGCAGAAUUCACAAGAUCGGUCCCUUGUCCUUAAAAGGUAAACCCAGAGCACUUUGAUUUUGGACAAAGAAAAUUAAAUUUCUGCUUGUAGAGAAUUAUAUUUGACUCUGACUAUCAUGUUAAAAUAGUGAUACAUUUAAAAACUAUGUUGAAAGAAGAUAACUUUAUUUGGGUAAUGGAAAUUAAGCAAAAUACCCUGCAGGAGUUUUAAUUGUAGGCAAAAUAUAUAAAAAUAGCAAAUAAAACAUUCCUAAGGAAACUGUAAAUUUUUAAA
This 745-nucleotide long non-coding RNA is filed under the name Castor canadensis (American beaver). Its description in RNAcentral is "lncRNA (ENSCCNG00000007235.1)". The record is from RNAcentral. Lineage: Eukaryota; Metazoa; Chordata; Mammalia; Rodentia; Castoridae.